This is a long non-coding RNA of Ostrea edulis (European flat oyster), 2476 nucleotides long. RefSeq lists it as uncharacterized. The record is from RefSeq and is a predicted model, not a curated record. The transcript has 2 exons. Lineage: Eukaryota; Metazoa; Mollusca; Bivalvia; Ostreida; Ostreidae.
UAUAACAUCUCGGUAAUACCGACCUGUAACACUUUUGCCCUUCGGCACCGGAAUUUGUACGGCUAUAUCAUCACUUGAGAAGAAUGUGCAAUAAAGAACCUUCUUUGUGCUUAUGGUUCUUUUGGCAACUACAGGCCUUCUACCGUGUUUAGUUAGCCAUAUUUUGUUUCCAAUUUUUCUUACUGGAUCGAAAUAGUGAACCCAUGUUUCAUCACAAGUAACAAUGUUUGCAAAUUGUCUUUCAUUGAAUUUUGGGAAAUAUUUUUAGUAAUGGCUUAACUGUUUGUACUUGUACCCGUUUUGUGGUCGUCUGUCAUCUUGCAGAAAUAUUUCGUACUUUCAAAAUGCGCUUCUAUAAAUGAAAUGCACCCGCGAUAGCGAUAUGCCAACAACUUUGGCAAUAUCACGAAUCGUGUAUCUGCCAUAACUUUCAAUUAUUUCCCUGACUUUUGAGACAUUUACCUUGCCUGUUACAGUCACAGGUCGGCCAGAUUUUGCUGCAUCUUUGACGGACUCUGUGCCAGUCAGAAAUUUCUUUCUCCACCUACGAACUGUCUCAUAAGAUACCUUAUCAGACCCAUAAACUUCUCCCCAAUUCAGUAAAUAUCUGCAUUACCGAAUGACCGAGUUUUGUGCGAAUUUUUAUAUAAGCUCUAAUUUCUUCAAUAUUCUCAACCCGUUUCCCAACCAUUUUUACAACAGUGGUCAACGACUGGCUUUUUUUAAAUGACUAUAAGUUUAAAACUAUGUGGAGCUGAAGGCUCUUGUUAAUACCUAUGGAAAGGUAUUGAAUAGAGCUAUUCAAGAGUAUAAUCAUCCACGAAAUCAUGCAAAGCGUUAUCGCGCUGGGGGUACAAUACAUAUUACAUAUCGAACAGCCCUCGUAUACCAAAAAUUUAAUUUAGAUGCACAUGUUGAAAAAAGCUGCGACCAUAUAAUGAAGCGAAAACAGCGCAAAAAAACAGAGUCAGAGAGAGACCUAUUGUCAAAACUUAAUAUGUUAAAUGAAUUGAACGUAAGAGUGCAUGGAAGGUAUGUAGCUAAAUGCACUAAAACAGAAUGCCUAGUCGCUCCAUUCAUUACCUGAUGAAUUUUCACCUGAAUAAUUGAAUUAAAUGCAAAUGAUAACGACAUUGAUAAAAAUGAAAAUAAGUCUCAUUCUCUCUUCCACGUACUAUUUGUUUUACGUCCCGUUGAGAAUUUUUCACUCCUAUCUAAAAUUUGCAUCCGAAUUGGCCUGUUGUCCUAGAAACGGGGAAAUAACCUUUAUGUUCCGUGCAUGUAAAUCCACGCGUAUUUCUAUUUGAUGCGAAACUUCGGUGGAAACGUUUACCGUCCCCAGUUCCGGCAUUUUAAAAUGUUUUCCAGAAUCAAAACAUGAAAGUUUGCGAAGAGAAGUGAAUGUAGGCGAUGGCUGUCUAAUUCUCUAAAGAGAAUAGAAAUUCUACAUCGACUCGAUUAGCCCUAUAUAUUUUAUCAAAUUAGAAUCCAUUAGUCUCUAUGAAAACCUGUUGGUUUUUAUAUUAGACCUGCUAUAUUGAGGACGUUUUAAAAGUUAAAUUUAUAUAAGCGCCAAUGUUCAUUCACUGACUCGUGAUGAAAACUAUAUUUCAGAAACACGAUUCUUGUUAAGGACAAAUGGUUUAACGGUGCACAUUUUGAAUAGCAUUAUACAAACGUCGACGGUCGGUACUCUUUCCUUGUUAUUUAAUGACCUAUUAAUAGAACAACAAAAAAAACCAACCCCAAAACAUCCGGAAAUGGCAGAAUACGGAGUUUCUACUGUUAGUUCUGUCGUGAUCAGGAGAGAUGGCCCCUAACUUAACAGAGUUUAAGAUUUUUUUCUGGUUGCUUACCAGUGACUCUAAACAACAGCAUGGACUUCACCAUGAUCGCUUUAUCGGAAUCUUUGGAUAAACCGCCACAUCUCUUCUACGGACUCCUUUUUGUUUUCAGAAUGUGGCUCAGUUUAACAUUUGAUGCGUCAAUAUUGUACUUCCUUGUAAGCAAUGAAUGUUUACGUGUUAAGAAACCUCUACUUAUAUAUGUGACGAUGGUCCUAUUUUUAGCAAUAUUCAUUACGUCCGUGGCAUUCACAGGAAGAGACUUGUAUUCUUCCGCCAACGAGUUGAUGAUUGGAUUUAAAUUUUUCAACGCCGUUCAGUCGUGUUGUUUACUGUGCAGUUUUUCUAGAAGAAAAUUUGUUUCUAAUUUACCAACGUUAUUAAGAUUCGUUCUGUGUUUUGAAGCCUUGUUGUGUUCGUAUGAAUUAAUUGCUCUUUUAAUGAUUGAUGCGAGUCAGCGUUGAUUCUAAUUAAGUAGCCAGGUUGUUGGCAUUCUACAUGGACUACACAGACAAAUUGCACAGUACUACAGUAUUUGAAUUUUAAAGCAACUGUACAAUCGAGGACUUCGCCAUUGAUCGCAUGCCAAAUCAACUUAUACUCAAUAUACUUCAUAAAAUUUAAUGAUCUAA